RNAcentral lists this ribosomal RNA (393 nucleotides) under uncultured bacterium. Its description in RNAcentral is "partial 16S ribosomal RNA". It matches the Rfam family "Bacterial small subunit ribosomal RNA", at positions 523 to 918 of the family's 1533-position model. The record is from RNAcentral.
AUACGGAGGGUGCAAGCGUUAUCCGGAUUUAUUGGGUUUAAAGGGUGCGUAGGCGGUUUGAUAAGGCAGCGGUGAAAUAUUUCAGCUUGACUGGAAGGGUGCCGUUGAUACUGUCGAGCUUGAAUUUAGUUGCUGUGGGUGGAAUGUGUGGUGUAGCGGGGAAAUGCAUAGAUAUCACACCGAAUAUCGAUUGCGAAGGCAGCUCACAAAGCUAAUAUUGACGCUGAUGCACGAAAGUGUGGGGAUCAAACAGGAUUAGAUACCCUGGUAGUCCACACUGUAAACGAUGAUAACUCGCUGUCGGCGAUACAUAGUCGGUGGCCAAGCGAAAGCGAUAAGUUAUCCACCUGGGGAGUACGACCGCAAGGUUGAAACUCAAAGGAAUUGACGGGG